This 690-nucleotide ribosomal RNA is filed under the name uncultured Candidatus Poseidoniales archaeon. RNAcentral's name for it is "bacterial SSU rRNA". It matches the Rfam family "Archaeal small subunit ribosomal RNA", at positions 232 to 923 of the family's 1478-position model. Lineage: Archaea; Methanobacteriati; Thermoplasmatota; Candidatus Poseidoniia; Candidatus Poseidoniales. The record is from RNAcentral.
GUAGGGGGUGUAACGUACCCUCUAGCCAUCAACGCGUACGGGUGUUGGGAGACAUAGCCCGGAGAUGGAUUCUGAGACACGAAUCCAGACCCUACGGGGUGCAGCAGGCGCGAAAACUUGGCAAUGCGAGCAAUCGUGACCAGGGAACUCCAAGUGGCUGGGGUAAUACCCAGUUUUUUCUUGACUCUUCAAAGGUCUUGGAAUAAGGGGUGGGUAAGGACGGUGCCAGCCGCCGCGGUAAUACCGGCGCCUCAAGUGGUAGUCGCUUUUAUUGGGCCUAAAACGUCCGUAGCCGGUCUGGUGCAUUCGUGGGUAAAUCAACCCGCUCAACGGGUUGAAUUCUGCGAGCACGGCCAGACUCGGGACCGGGAGAGGUGUGGGGUACUCUCAGGGUAGGGGUAAAAUCCUGUCAUCCUGAGAGGACCACCUGUUGCGAAGGCGCCACACUAGAACGGAUUCGACGGUCAGGGACGAAACCUAGGGGCACGAACCGGAUUAGAUACCCGGGUAGUCCUAGGUGUAAACGCUGUGGACUUGAUGUUGGGGGUGCUCCGAGCACUCUCAGUGUCGAAGCGAAGGUGAUAAGUCCACUGCCUGGGGAGUACGGUCGCAAGGCUGAAACUUAAAGGAAUUGGCGGGGGAGCACUGCAACCUGAGGAUUGUGCGGUUUAAUUGGACUCAACGCCGGGA